RNAcentral lists this ribosomal RNA (253 nucleotides) under uncultured bacterium. Its description in RNAcentral is "partial 16S ribosomal RNA". It matches the Rfam family "Bacterial small subunit ribosomal RNA", at positions 524 to 776 of the family's 1533-position model. The record is from RNAcentral.
UACGUAGGGGGCAAGCGUUGUCCGGAAUCAUUGGGCGUAAAGCGCGUGUAGGCGGCCCGGUAAGUCCGCUGUGAAAGUCGGGGGCUCAACCCUCGAAUGCCGGUGGAUACUGUCGGGCUAGAGUGCGGAAGAGGCGAGUGGAAUUCCUGGUGUAGCGGUGAAAUGCGCAGAUAUCAGGAGGAACACCGGUGGCGAAGGCGGUUCUCUGGGCAGGUUCUGACGCUGAGGAGCGAAAGUGUGGGGAGCGAACAGG